Molecule: small RNA, 68 nt
Filed under: uncultured Kluyvera sp.
Lineage: Bacteria; Pseudomonadati; Pseudomonadota; Gammaproteobacteria; Enterobacterales; Enterobacteriaceae
Description: Salmonella enterica sRNA STnc40
Rfam family: Salmonella enterica sRNA STnc40
Source: RNAcentral
CAGUGCCAUGGCCGUCUGAGCUAAGGGCAAAUAAGAAAUCAAAAGGCGCAGAGAACUGCGCCUUUUUU